Molecule: long non-coding RNA, 1438 nt
Organism: Crotalus tigris (Tiger rattlesnake)
Lineage: Eukaryota; Metazoa; Chordata; Lepidosauria; Squamata; Viperidae
Exons: 4
Source: RefSeq, a predicted model, not a curated record
CCGAGGGCGCUGGGCGGGGAAGGCGCGUGCUCUUUCGCGGGCAAACACAGGUGCGAGCGCUCGGCUGGUUUCCCAGCUCGCGCAGCGGUUGCCAUGGAGACGGCCGCGGCGCGGGAAACGGCUCAUCAGGGCCAGGUGGGCCUCGGCCGCACAGGCCUGGAGGAAUGGAUGGAUGGACAGACGGAUGAAUGGACGGACGGAUGGACAGACAGACAGACAGACAUGUGGAGGCUACCACAAUACGUGUCUGCGGAAACAGCAUCCUACCCACGCAGAAGAGGAACUGGGCUUGCAUCAGUAUAAUACCCACCAUCUUGUCCAUUCUGAUUCCUGCUUUGUGGAUGUUAACGAAGGAAAGAGGAACUGUCAAAAUGGGGUUCUAUUAAGGCUUCCUAAAUGUGAACCUUCAAUCAGAGUCCUGAAUUGAUAAAUCAUUUCUAGGAAACCGGAGGUGAGGUGACUGAAUAAGCCUGAACUGCAACAAAAUGUUAACUAUCUGGGGUUAUAUUUAUCUUUAUUUGUACAUGGAUGACACCUAGAUUCUCAGGAUCAUAAGGAUGUUGUAUGUGUUUCUGUAUUCCUCUAUAAAUUUCUUACAGCUGUUUCCUGUAAUUUCCCAAAAUUGAUUAUUCCCUUCACUGAUUAGCUACUUUCCACUCUUCACAUCUGUCUCUGUAAAUUGCAGAAGAGAUUGUAUUUUAGUGGGAGAAGAGAUCAUUAUAAACCUACAGGGAGAUUUAUUUAUUCACUGUAAAUUAGCAUUUCUUCUGAAUUUUGGUUUUCAGUCAACUUCUUGGAGCUAACAUCUGAAAUAUAGUGAAUAUUGGCUGCCAUAUAUGAUGGUUGACAGUCUCGGAUGCAUUUUGUGAGUGAAAUAUUCUUUCCAAGUUUCCAGAGAUAUACAGCAUGUGUGAAUCUUAACUGUUACAUUUUAUCUGCCUAUCAACAUUCACAAGAAUAUUUUGGUGUUUUUUUGUGGGACAUUGAACAGAACUGAACAGCUAAUAUUGGCUAUUAUAAAUUAAUUUCCUUGUCCUUUUAUAUUCUUCAAUUAAAUCAGUUUUGCAUUUUCUUAUAGUAGUUCCAAAACCUGAAAUCAGGUAGUUGUAAUCUGAAUAAAAUUAAUUAGAGAUUACUGUUUCUUAUUUUAAAUUUACUUGCAAAGUUUCUAUCCUGUUCACCAUAAACUCCGGAUGGUUAAUCUUAAAAAGUCUUAAAAGUAAGAUAAAAGCCAAUAAUUUAGUAUAUCAAGAAUAAACAAUAAUAACAUUAAUUUGGCAGUGUUGGGCUUCAGGUUUUAUUGACCAUGAAGCUCAACAUUGUCCAACAAAUAUUAGCCAUGAAAGCCUACAUCAGGGGUCUUCAAACCUGGCCCUUUGAUGACUUGUGGACAUGUGCCUGGCUGAGGAAUUCUGGGAGUUGAAGUCCACAAGUCAUC